ACUAGCGACGCCGCGUGGGGGACGACGGCCUUCGUGUCGUAAACCCCUUUCGCCAGGGAAGAAACUGACGGUACCUGCGAGAAGAAGUCCCGGCCAACUACGUGCCAGCAGCCGCGGUAACACGUAGGGGACGAGCGUUGUCCGGAAUCAUUGGGCGUAAAGCGCGCGUAGGCGGCUCGGAAAGUCGGGUGUGAAACUCCGGAGCUCAACUCCGGAACUGCAUCCGAUACUGUCGGGCUGGAGGUAGGAAGGGGGGAUCGGAAUUCCUGGUGUAGCGGUGAAAUGCGCAGAUAUCAGGAGGAACACCGGUGGCGAAGGCGGAUCCCUGGGCCUUACCUGACGCUGAGGCGCGAGAGCUGGGGGAGCGAACAGGAUUAGAUACCCUGGUAGUCCCAGCUGUAAACGUUGGGUGCUAGGUGUGGGCGGAUAUCGACCCCGUCCGUGCCGGAGCUAACGCAUUAAGCACCCCGCCUGGGGAGUACGGCCGCAAGGCUAAAACUCAAAGGAAUUGACGGGGGCCCGCACAAGCGGCGGAGCAUGCGGCUUAAUUCGAUGCAACGCGAAGAACCUUACCUGGGUUUGACAUGCAGGGUGAAGCCCGUGAAAGCGGGAGCUCUACGGAGCCUGCACAGGUGGUGCAUGGCU
This 645-nucleotide ribosomal RNA is filed under the name uncultured bacterium. RNAcentral's name for it is "bacterial SSU rRNA". It matches the Rfam family "Bacterial small subunit ribosomal RNA", at positions 387 to 1050 of the family's 1533-position model. The record is from RNAcentral.